GAUGAACGCUGGCGGCGUGCCUAAUACAUGCCAGUCGAGCGAAGGGACGAUAAUGUUGUUUUGGUGACGUUAGGGGCGCACGGGGGUAGCACACGUGGAUACUCUCCCUAUAAGUCGGGGAUCACCUCGGGAAUCCGGCGCUAAUACCGGAUUAUCUCUUGAACCGCAUGGUGCAUUGGUGAAAGUCGGUCUUUCUGGAUCUUAUAGAGGGUUCCUCGCUUCUUUAUCUAGUUGGUAAGGUAACGGCUUACCAAGGCAACGAUGCGUAGCCGACCUGAGAGGGUGAUCGGCCACGCUGGAACUGAGACGGGGUAGAGACUCCUGCGGUAGGCCACCGUGGGGAGUCUUCCGGAGUGGGCGAAAGCGUGACGGAGCAACGCCGCGUGAGUGAUGAAGGUCUUCGGAUCGUAAAACUCGGUUAUUAGGGAAGAACAUAUGUGUAAGUAACUGUGCACAUCUUGACGGUACCUAAUCAGAAAGCCGCGGCUAACUCCGUG
RNAcentral lists this ribosomal RNA (497 nucleotides) under uncultured bacterium. RNAcentral describes it as "partial 16S ribosomal RNA". It matches the Rfam family "Bacterial small subunit ribosomal RNA", at positions 28 to 507 of the family's 1533-position model. The record is from RNAcentral.